This 346-nucleotide unclassified non-coding RNA is filed under the name soil metagenome. RNAcentral's name for it is "partial contains 5.8S ribosomal RNA, internal transcribed spacer 2, and large subunit ribosomal RNA". The stretch from base 1 to 121 matches the Rfam family "5.8S ribosomal RNA", at positions 35 to 154 of the family's 154-position model. The record is from RNAcentral.
GAUGAAGAACGUAGUGAAAUGCGAUAAGUAAUGCGAAUUGCAGAAUUUCCGUGAGUCAUCGAAUCUUUGAACGCACAUUGCGCCCACUGGUAUUCCGGUGGGCAUGCCUGUUCGAGCGUCAUUAUCCUCCCUCAAACCCCGGGUUUGAUGUUGGACCGAAGUUGUGUGAACAACUGGUCUAAAAAACAAUGACGGCGUCCGUGGGACCCUCGGUGCAACGAGCUUUUAGGAGCACGCGCCGAGUUGCAAGGACCUUCCGGGCCGGUCUCCUUUUACUAUUUUACAAGGUUGACCUCGGAUCAGGUAGGAAUACCCGCUGAACUUAAGCAUAUCAAUAAGCGGAGGA